UUUGAAACUAUGUAAAUUCCUUUCCUUUGGAACAACAACCCCAACACUUAAAAAGAGAAAAAAGAAGAAAAGAUUGCUGGAUAAAUUCAUAGCUGAAGGAGAACAAUAAGAACAAAGUAAUUUGUCUCCCACCAUCUACAUCAGCGAUAGAGAACAUGUGGCCCUUCAGAUAUUGGUGGACUUCCCUGAAGAAAGACUUCUGGAGAGAAAACAGCAGUUUCAGAAGGGGGAGUCUAGCGUGGGCGACGGCUGAGCAACAGCGACAUCUUUCAAACAGUAACGGCUAUUGUCAAACCAAGUAUUAUUAAAUAACCAGCCUGAAAGUAAAUAUUCCUUCAGGGAGGAAGAGCAGGAC
Molecule: long non-coding RNA, 355 nt
Filed under: Podarcis lilfordi (Lilford's wall lizard)
Lineage: Eukaryota; Metazoa; Chordata; Lepidosauria; Squamata; Lacertidae
Source: RNAcentral